AAUAGAUGUUUGAUCUUUACUAGGCUUCCAGAAUGCAGCUUGUCAACAAGUUCAUCCUCCCAUACAUCUUAUGUGGAUUUCAUUGUUACAGUCCAAAACCUGGAAAGAGCUACGGUCUGGAACUAACUUGCAGAGGAAAGGAAACAGUGCAUGAGGAAGACCGAGACAGACAAAACUAUCAUGUGUGUAUAAAAUUAAGUUCCUGAUGGGUCAAGAUUGAAGACCAGUUAUCCUCAUUAAACACAUGUUUUAAGUAGGCUGAUAACCUACCUCUUACUUAAGGUACAUCUCUCAUUUCAUUCAUUUGCCACAUGAGUAAAGGGAAGACUGAAACCA
Oxyura jamaicensis (ruddy duck) is the source of this 336-nucleotide long non-coding RNA. RefSeq lists it as uncharacterized. The transcript has 3 exons. The record is from RefSeq and is a predicted model, not a curated record. Lineage: Eukaryota; Metazoa; Chordata; Aves; Anseriformes; Anatidae.